CGCCAGACCCCUACGGGAGGCAGCAGUGAGGAAUAUUGGUCAAUGGGCGGGAGCCUGAACCAGCCAAGUCGCGUGAGGGAUGACGGCCCUAUGGGUUGUAAACCUCUUUUGCCGGGGAGCAAGGGCGGGGACGUGUCCCGGCCCGGAGAGUACCCGGAGAAAAAGCAUCGGCUAACUCCGUGCCAGCAGCCGCGGUAAUACGGAGGAUGCGAGCGUUAUCCGGAUUUAUUGGGUUUAAAGGGUGCGUAGGGGGGCUUUUAAGUCAGCGGUAAAAAUUCGGGGCUCAACCCCGUCCGGCCGUUGAAACUGGCGUUCUUGAGUGGGCGAGAAGUAUGCGGAAUGCGUGGUGUAGCGGUGAAAUGCAUAGAUAUCACGCAGAACUCCGAUUGCGAAGGCAGCUUACCAGUCUGCGACUGACGCUCAGGCACGAAAGUGUGGGUAUCGAACAGGAUUAGAUACCCGAGUAA
RNAcentral lists this ribosomal RNA (467 nucleotides) under uncultured bacterium. RNAcentral's name for it is "bacterial SSU rRNA". It matches the Rfam family "Bacterial small subunit ribosomal RNA", at positions 329 to 793 of the family's 1533-position model. The record is from RNAcentral.